Molecule: long non-coding RNA, 904 nt
Organism: Serinus canaria (Common canary)
Lineage: Eukaryota; Metazoa; Chordata; Aves; Passeriformes; Fringillidae
Exons: 6
Source: RefSeq, a predicted model, not a curated record
AUCCUUGCGCGGCGGCUGGACGGGGCCGCACCGGGCAGCACCGGGAAGCAGCGGGCGCGCUCUCCUCGCCUCUCCGGCGGUGUGACGCAUCCAUCAUGGAAUCAGCCCCUGGCAGUGCCAACAUCUACUUCCCCAAGAGUAUUGACUGGCUGUGAUAUUUCUGCUUGGAAAAUGGCUCUGUGGAGUUCAGUCACCAACACCAUGCUUCAUUUGAUGUCAGCCAAGCAGGAAACACCAACACAAUUACCACUACAGUGUAAGUGCAUUAUUGGUUUUGGAAGGAGAAGAACCAUAAAAGCCUCAGCAACCCACCCCAGCAGUAUCCUGUCCACAGCAACGUUGGUGGAAGAAGCAAUGAGGAGUUUCCAAGGAGUUGCCCUCGGACCCUCUGUAGCUUCACUGCUUUCAAAGAGCUGCACGAGGAACAAGAUCACCACAGACAGCAAGUAGCUCUUGCCAGCUCCAAAAACACCUGGGAUUUUGGGAAAAAAGAACCCAAGUUACAAGUCAUCAUCUGAGCCACGUGAAUCAGCGAUGCUGCUUGGUCUGGGUUCAGGGAGAACCUCUGGAUCAUCUCUUCAGCCACUCCCAUUGCCACCUCAGAGCUCACAGGGCCAGACAUCAUGGAGCACUUCACAGUCAUGGCAGAAAGAAAUCUUUACUCUUUAAAUAUAGAGAAAACGUGUUCAACCCUGCUGAAGUCCUGAGCUACUGGAAUAUUUAUGAACCUUGAAGUCACACAGCAUUUGAGGAUACCUCACCAAAAGCUGGCAUUCCUCAUAGACAGCAAUCUUUUGACUCCUGAGUGUUUGAAAUGACAGCAUCUCACAGAGCAGAGACUUACCUAUCAGAGCAGCUUUAAAAACCUGUUUGUAGUGAGUGUGAGACUGGAACACAGCUGGGA